UACGUAGGGUGCGAGCGUUGUUCGGAAUUAUUGGGCGUAAAGGGCUCGUAGGCGGUCUGUCGCGUCGGUCGUGAAAACUCAGGGCUUAACCCUGAGCCUGCUUCCGAUACGGGCAGACUAGAGGUAUGCAGGGGAGAAUGGAAUUCCUGGUGGAGCGGUGAAAUGCGUAGAUAUCGGUUGGAACGCCAAUGGUGAAAACAGGUUGCUGGGAGUGUGCUGACGCUGAGACACGAAAGCCAGGGGAGCAAACGGG
This 253-nucleotide ribosomal RNA is filed under the name uncultured bacterium. RNAcentral's name for it is "partial 16S ribosomal RNA". It matches the Rfam family "Bacterial small subunit ribosomal RNA", at positions 524 to 776 of the family's 1533-position model. The record is from RNAcentral.